Molecule: long non-coding RNA, 3333 nt
Filed under: Medicago truncatula (barrel medic)
Lineage: Eukaryota; Viridiplantae; Streptophyta; Magnoliopsida; Fabales; Fabaceae
Description: long non-coding RNA (MTRU_LNC003146)
Source: RNAcentral
GAUUAUUUUAGUACAUUGGUAUCAUGUGGUAUCUAGUAAAGGCCACAAAUACUUACCUUUUGUGCAUAUAUUAUUUAUGUUUAUGUAUAUUAUAUUGGGUAUGCUGUAACACCCUAUUUCUAUUAAAGCAAUUAAACAUGCGAAUAAUGCAUUUAUUCAAGAAAUAGAUGUUACUUCAUCAUUCAAAAUUCAAACUCAACAUGCAUGCAUAUAAAUCUCAACAGUCGCAGCGGAAUAUAAACCAGAGUACUCCAAAUAUACAUGCCAUUAAUCAAUUAUUACAUCAACAUAGAUUAGUCUCAAAAUCCCAACAUAGGGUAAAUCUCUAACAUCAAAGAAAAUCCAACAGAUAAAUCUAACAGACGCCUAGAUCAGAGCCAGCCUAGACGCAACUAACACCGAUACCGGAGAAAGCUCCUGAUAUCCACCAAGCACAAAAGACUCACUAGAGCAACUAAUCCUGCACAACGUCUACUCAUCCAUACAAACAGGUAGCGGUCAAAACCACUGGGGUAAGUAUUACAUCAUCAUAAUCCAUAUAAUAAUUAACAUGAAUAGUUCAAUUCAAAUAUCAUGCAUUGAAUCCGAUAAUAAUAUCACUUAUAUAUUUAUUCAUACUAUAAUCCCCAUAUCUCACAUCAAUCAAUCACCAGUCACAUGUGUCAUGAACAUUCUUUAAUCACAUUUAUUCACACACAAUUAUCAUUCAUAUUUCACCAAUAAGACUCAUGCAUGAAGUGCACCUAGCCCGACACAUAUAUGCAUGUGGUACCAUUUCACUUCAAGGUUGUCACCUAUAUCUAGACCGUCAAAGGUCUCUGCAAGGUCGAAGCCCACAAUCUAGAUCACCAAUGGAUCUCUGCAAGACCGAAGUCCACAAAACUAGAUCACCAAUGAUCUCUGAUGGGCCGGAGCCCAAUGAUGCAACAAAAAUAUCAUAUAAAAUAUCAACACGACUAUGAUGCACGGACAUGUAACAAAGACUCGAUAAUGCGACAACAAUCCACAAUUUUCACCACAAUAUAGAGGACAACUUCCAAAUAUAUUGUUCAUCUCCACCACAUUUGCAUUAUCAAGAAAACAUGUCCAUACACAAUCAAAUCAUAAGAUUCAUUAUCACAACAUCAACAUGAUCAUCAAUAAUCAACAAUGUCAUUCAACAUCAACUAUCACAUAUAAUUUCACCAUUUCAAGCAUUUCUUACAUUCUAAGUAAGAUAGCAUACACAUCUCAUGAUAACAUCAUAUCCAAAAUACAAUCAUUCAUUCAUACAACUUCACUUAGUCAUAUAAGAAUAGUCUCGAUAAUUCAUAAGACAAUCGGUUUAAGAAACAUUUCUGACCCAAACUAUAUCAAGUGGCAAACGGCCCACAUUGAUAAUCCCAAGACAAAACAACAUAGCCAAGUUGAAAGUUCCCAAACAAUCUUAAUCAAUCAUGUCGUCAUGAGCUUAAGCCACCUCCGGACCAUUAGGAAUUAAUCCAAGAAUAGCUUAAGUUCGCAUGAAGAACCCAAUUUCACAAUCUUUCACAUUUCCACCCGAAAUAUCACUUUUUACAUGAUUACGAUGUUUGACUACUCUUACAAGUCUUACCUAAGUCUAUAUGAGUUGUAGGUUCAACUUGCAAGUUCCAUUGUUUGCAAAAGUUUGCUUUCGACAAAGGUCUACAAUUUUCAAAAACUUCCAAGUUAAGACUCAACGGAAAAAUUCAAGUUUAGACAAGCUAAUCAUGUUCCAGUAGGUUUAGGGGCCUAAACAGUAGUUAAACAUGUUAAAAGAAUCAUUUUACAAAGCUCGGAUUAGCCCUCUAAGACCCGGAACAAAAUUCAAAAGUGGCUGAAACUGGAUCUGUUCACUUAAGCGACCCCUGGUUCGCUUAAGCGAACGAGUGACAGUAGCCACCUGUAAGGUACGCUUACUGGCCGCUCAUCAGUUCGCUUAAGCGACCACAUGGUUCGCUUAAGCGAACGAGUUCCAGUAGCUACCAGUAAGGUUCGCUUACCAGCUCGCUCACUGGUCGCUUAAGCGAACGUUCACAGUUUUGCAGAAAAUGUUACGGGUUUCAACCCCUUUUCACCUAAAAUCCUCAAUUUUGAUCCAUCAAUGCCCAAAUGUGUUUCCAAAUGAUGUUUAUAGGUCAAUAUGACUAAAAAGACUCACAAAGACUCAACACACAUGGAAACAAUUGACAUUAGGACCAAUUCACUAAUUUUUACCAAAACACCAACAACAUCUCAUUUCUCCACAACAAAUCAUGAAUCAUGCAUACCCAAGCCAUGAAUUAUCAUCAACAACAUCACAUACCAGUAACAAUAUCAAUUGAUCAUGAAACUUAUCACAAUUCAACAACAACGAAUCAUAAUUCAACUAAUUGAGCAUAUUUUCAACAUAUACCCUUUUCUCAUACUUUGAACAUGAAAUUCAACUAACAAUAAUUCAAUUAUCCAUAACUUCAUACAUUCAAAUAUGUCAUCAUAAUUAGAGCAUAAAUUUCAUCAUUUAUGAACAAUUAAUCAAUUCACCCAAUUAAGCACUUAUUCAUACAAUAAUUGAAAAAUUGCAAUAAAUGAUUAUGAUGAAUUCUAACCCCCUUACCUUAGUUAGAUUAAUCUCCCUAGCUUAGGCUUCAAUUUAGCUCCUAGCUCUCCCCCAAUCCUUGAUUCUUCAAGUUCCUCUUCUCUCUAACCCUUUUCUCCUUGCUCCCACUUUCUCUCUCUAACUCUCUCAAAAAUAUUUUAUGAAAUGAAAAUGUGAGGAAAUUUCCUCUAAGACAAGGUUUUUAUAGUAAGUCCCCUUAAUGGGCCUAACUCUAAGCUUAAUGGAUUUAACUCAUUCCAACUUAAUUCUAAAAUGUUUCUACACAAACGACGGUAAACCACUAAUAACGGCCACUAAACGAUAAAAUUCUACCAACGGUCACUCAACGGUAAACUAUUGACUAUUACUCUAGUAACUUAGCAAAAUAACGGUUCCCACUAAAUACUAAAAAUAAUUCUCACAAAAACUUAUAAUUUACCCGUUCUCACAAAAUGACCAAAAUACCUCUAAGUCCAAAAUGACUAAAUUACCCUUCUAACACAGAAAUCCACAAAAAUGCACCCACUGAUGAAUGAUCACACACAAGCACAUAUAAACACACAAUAAAAGUAAUUAAAACAAAUAUAGCGAAAAAUCGGGCUGUUACAUAUGCUAUCUACCUGCUCUUUAAUUUUAAUAAAUCCUAAAUUUAUAAAUGAUAAUUUAGGCUAGUUACAUAGGUUCAACCAAUGGAUGUCUCAUUUACAACUAUUUUUUCAUCAUUGAACAAUAUUAUUUCUCUUUUGAAAAUUUUC